Molecule: small RNA, 647 nt
Filed under: Spisula solidissima (Atlantic surf clam)
Lineage: Eukaryota; Metazoa; Mollusca; Bivalvia; Venerida; Mactridae
Description: cnRNA43
Source: RNAcentral
AAGAAGAAAUAUUGGACUCAGGAGCUUUAUCUUACAGGAGCAAUAUUGGACUCAGGGCUGUGUCUUCAAGGAGCAAUAUUGGACUCAGGGCUUUGUCUUCAAGGAGCAAUAUUGGACUCAGGGCUGUGUCUUCAAGGAGCAAUAUUGGACUCAGGGCUGUGUCUUCAAUGAGCAAUAUUGGACUCAGGGCUUUGCCUUCAAGGAGCAAUAUUGGACUCAGGGCUUUGUCUUUAAGGAGCAAUAUUGGACUCAGGGCUUUGUCUUCAAGGAGCAAUAUUGGACUCAGGGCUUUGUCUUCAAUGAGCAAUAUUGGACUCAGGGCUGUGUCUUCAAGGAGUAAUAUUGGCCUCAGGGCUUUGUCUUCCAGGAGCAAUAUUGGACUCAGGACUUUGUCUUCAAGGAGCAAUAUUGGACUCAGGACUUUGUCUUCCAGGAGCAAUAUUGGACUCAGGACUUUGUCUUCAAGGAGCAAUAUUGGACUCAGGACUUUGUCUUCAAUGAGCAAUAUUGGACUCAGGGCUUUGUCUUCAAGGAGCAUAUUGGACUUAGGGCUUUGUCUUCAAGGAGCAAUAUUGGACUCAGGGCUUUGUCUUCAAGGGGCAAUAUUGGACUCAGGGCUUUGUCUUCAAGGAGCAAUAUUGCCCAUU